This is a long non-coding RNA of Impatiens glandulifera, 752 nucleotides long. RefSeq lists it as uncharacterized. The record is from RefSeq and is a predicted model, not a curated record. The transcript has 2 exons. Lineage: Eukaryota; Viridiplantae; Streptophyta; Magnoliopsida; Ericales; Balsaminaceae.
CCACCCAUCGUUAUUGCUCACCUUGUCCGCCUAUUCUUUAUUAUCUUCUUUUCCGAUCCCUACUGCCGUCCGAAUCCAAUCUUUAAAGAGAAAUACAGAAAAAGAAAGAGAGAGGUCGAGCGAGAGAUUCUCCUCAAGUGUUGGUGCCGGGAGAAUGAGCGUUUCUAAUUAGUUAUCCAGGUAUAAUAUCAAUAAAGACGGUAAUCUACCGUCGUUGUUGAUAAAAUACAUACAGGCUGUCUAAGGCUACUGCUUGGGGCCGGCUUGUACUUGGCUCCGCCCCGGCAGGUAUUAGUGUGUUUUUGUUAUUACGAAUCAUAAUAUAUCUAUCUAAACUACAUUUCAGCAUGGCUAGGAUUUCCUAAGUUGAUGGAUCUGAAGAAUCGAUAGAGAUUUGUUAGGUUUACUGCAGUUGGAUCUAUCUCUUCUUUACAUGGAGUUACAGAUUCAACUUGAGAAGGUAAAGCGGGGUGGAGUUUCUUUUUUUUUUUGGAAAAAAUCUAUACCGAUUGGCUAUAAUACCAAUCGGUGUUGCCCUAUAUCGAUUGGUUAUUCACCCAUCGAUUUUCCUUCAAUUUGUAUUACGAAAAGAAGUUCCAGCGAUCAGUAUUACCGAAAGAAUUUCAGCGAUUAGUGACUAUCAAUUAAUUCUAAUCAGUACUACCUAUUCUGAUUGGUAAUAAGAUAUUAUUGAUCGAUACAUAUGGAAGAUUUUUUUACUAAUGUGUUAUUAAAAAUAUUAUUUUAUUUCA